Molecule: ribosomal RNA, 252 nt
Filed under: uncultured bacterium
Lineage: Bacteria
Description: partial 16S ribosomal RNA
Rfam family: Bacterial small subunit ribosomal RNA
Source: RNAcentral
UACGUAGGGGGCAAGCGUUGUCCGGAAUUAUUGGGCGUAAAGCGCGCGCAGGCGGCCUUGUAAGUCUGUUGUUUAAACUCGGGGCUCAACCCCGAGUCGCAAUGGAAACUGCAAAGCUUGAGUACAGAAGAGGAAAGUGGAAUUCCACGUGUAGCGGUGAAAUGCGUAGAGAUGUGGAGGAAUACCAGUGGCGAAGGCGACUUUCUGGGCUGUAACUGACGCUGAGGCGCGAAAGCGUGGGGAGCAAACAGG